This 513-nucleotide ribosomal RNA is filed under the name Sphingomonas sp. TW_R2A_DR7. Its description in RNAcentral is "bacterial SSU rRNA". It matches the Rfam family "Bacterial small subunit ribosomal RNA", at positions 170 to 717 of the family's 1533-position model. The record is from RNAcentral. Lineage: Bacteria; Pseudomonadati; Pseudomonadota; Alphaproteobacteria; Sphingomonadales; Sphingomonadaceae.
CGGAUGAUGACUUCGGUCCAAAGAUUUAUCGCCCAAGGAUGAGCCCGCGUAAGAUUAGCUAGUUGGUGAGGUAAAGGCUCACCAAGGCGACGAUCUUUAGCUGGUCUGAGAGGAUGAUCAGCCACACUGGGACUGAGACACGGCCCAGACUCCUACGGGAGGCAGCAGUGGGGAAUAUUGGACAAUGGGCGAAAGCCUGAUCCAGCAAUGCCGCGUGAGUGAUGAAGGCCUUAGGGUUGUAAAGCUCUUUUACCAGGGAUGAUAAUGACAGUACCUGGAGAAUAAGCUCCGGCUAACUCCGUGCCAGCAGCCGCGGUAAUACGGAGGGAGCUAGCGUUGUUCGGAAUUACUGGGCGUAAAGCGCACGUAGGCGGCCAUUCAAGUCAGAGGUGAAAGCCCGGGGCUCAACCCCGGAACUGCCUUUGAAACUAGAUGGCUUGAAUCUUGGAGAGGCGAGUGGAAUUCCGAGUGUAGAGGUGAAAUUCGUAGAUAUUCGGAAGAACACCAGUGGCG